UACAGAGGGUGCAAGCGUUAAUCGGAAUUACUGGGCGUUAAGCGCGCGUAGACGGUUAUAUAAGUCGGGUGUGAAAGCCCCGGGCUCAACCUGGGAAUUGCAUUCGAGACUGUGUAGCUAGGGUGCGGAAGAGGGAAGCGGAAUUUCCGGUGUAGCGGUGAAAUGCGUAGAGAUGGGGAGGAACACCAGUGGCGAAAGCGGCUUCCUGGUCCAGCACCGACGUUCAGGCGCGAAAGCGUGGGGAGCAAACAGG
Molecule: ribosomal RNA, 253 nt
Filed under: uncultured bacterium
Lineage: Bacteria
Description: partial 16S ribosomal RNA
Rfam family: Bacterial small subunit ribosomal RNA
Source: RNAcentral